GGAAAAGACAACCUAGAAAGAUUUUAUGAGACCUUCCAUGGAGCCAAUAUCAGUGCUCAGUAUCUGGUAACUGUAGAUAUAAUAAGAGGAUACCUACAUAAAACAUUAUCUACAACAGUGGUGUUCAUAGUCGAAAGUGAUAAAGGUGUUGGAUGACAGUGUGAUUUGCACACAAGCGUGAAAACAACUUGGAUCUUGGGUUGUUGCUGUUGCACUAAAGUGUGAAACAACCUAGGCACAAUUUGACAACAUGGCCACCAGAUCCAGAAGGUAUCCCAAAUGCCUAAAAGUUGCUAAGGAUGGGAUAAAGAGAAAUCUCAUGGCAUCCA
Long non-coding RNA from Quercus lobata, 329 nucleotides. RefSeq lists it as uncharacterized. NCBI's taxonomy places the organism in Eukaryota, Viridiplantae, Streptophyta, Magnoliopsida, Fagales, Fagaceae. The record is from RefSeq and is a predicted model, not a curated record. The transcript is spliced from 5 exons.